AAAGCCUCCUUUAUGCGAAAGCUCUACCUCGCACAGAAGGUUUCCAAUACUGCUUUCGGUUUUCUUUCUUAAAAUAUUUUAUACUUUUGUCACUCGCUGGAAAAUUGCUGGCAAUUUGCACAAAAGAUAACACAGCGUAAAUCCCCCAAAUGUUGUACUUUCUUUUUUUGCUUUAAAUUUGGUGCCCAAAAGUUGUAGUUUUUUUUUUGCUUUAACUUUUUUUGAAAAAAUUUGCUUUAAAUUCGGUAACCAGCCCUGCAUAUAUAUGUUGCAGCUCUCUCUGUUAUCAUAAUCAAUAAGAAAAGGUUUAGAUUUUUUCUUAGAACAAACUCAUGGGUAUCUAAGAUCUGUCUUGUCGUUGCAGCUAUCUUAUGGUCACAUAGCAAUUGAUCUUAGGGAAUGGUAGUCAAAGAUGUAGUAAUUGAUCAUAGUAUAAGAGACAGCACCUGAAAGUUUAAGCCUUUGAAUUAAGCUUUUUGUGCCUUGCCUACCAGAGAUUGCAUCCCUCCCUUAAGUCUCAAUACAUCGUUAUUGCAUAAAGUGAAAUAUUUUAUACAAAACUAACUUUUAUAUUCUGUCUUUUAUGAAAUUUGUGAAAACCUUCAAGGCCCAGUUACUGAAGACAUGUUUCAUUGACAAGCUACAAUAAUGGGUCCAUCAGAUAGUCCUUGUUCAGGCGGAGUCUUUCUCGUUGCAUUUAGGACAAAAGUGUUUCACCCUAAUGUCAACAGCAAUGGAAGCAUUUGCCUUGACAUUUUGAAAGAACAAUGGAGUCCUGCACUCACCAUAUCCAAGGUUUUGCUUUCGAUAUGUUCAUUAUUAACGGAUCAAAAGUCCAAACCCAGAUGAUCCUUUGGUUCCAGAGAUUGCUCACAUGUACAAAACCGAUAGAGCCAAGUAUGAGUCUACUGCAAGGAGCCGGACUUAGAAAUAUGCUAUGGGGUAAAGUUUGUGCUUUUGAUCCAUCAAGACUCAGUUUUAAAGGAGGGAGAGUGAGAGAGAGAGAUAGGACACUACAUAGGAUCUUCCAUAAAAUUAAGUUAUGUAUGAUCUCUUUGUUUCAAAGCUUCUUUGAUUUCACUUGUUAAACAAGAAAAAAAAAACAUUUACUUCUCCUAUUUA
Raphanus sativus (radish) is the source of this 1122-nucleotide long non-coding RNA. RefSeq lists it as uncharacterized. The transcript has 3 exons. Lineage: Eukaryota; Viridiplantae; Streptophyta; Magnoliopsida; Brassicales; Brassicaceae. The record is from RefSeq and is a predicted model, not a curated record.